UACGAAGGGGGCUAGCGUUGCUCGGAAUCACUGGGCGUAAAGCGCACGUAGGCGGAUUGCUAAGUCAGGGGUGAAAUCCUGGAGCUCAACUCCAGAACUGCCUUUGAUACUGGCGACCUUGAGUCCGGGAGAGGUGAGUGGAACUGCGAGUGUAGAGGUGAAAUUCGUAGAUAUUCGCAAGAACACCAGUGGCGAAGGCGGGUCUCUGGACAGUUCCUGACACUGAGGCACGAAGGCCAGGGGAGCAAACGGG
This 253-nucleotide ribosomal RNA is filed under the name uncultured bacterium. RNAcentral's name for it is "partial 16S ribosomal RNA". It matches the Rfam family "Bacterial small subunit ribosomal RNA", at positions 524 to 776 of the family's 1533-position model. The record is from RNAcentral.